GCAUGUAUCCACCAAUAGGCACAACUCUUAUGCAAAUUAAAAAUGAGGAAUGUAAUUUGAGAAAGGAAACCAAGUUUGGUGGAUGAAUUAUGACCAUUAGACCAGAGCGUGAUUAACAGCCUCCCUGGCCUUCGGGUCAUGGUGCCGUAGAUGAUCGUUCUCAGCUCCAACCAUGGGUGCUGAGAUGGUCUAAUAGCUGUUUGACAGACU
This is a small nucleolar RNA of Lycium ferocissimum, 210 nucleotides long. RefSeq annotates it as small nucleolar RNA U3. The transcript has a single exon. Lineage: Eukaryota; Viridiplantae; Streptophyta; Magnoliopsida; Solanales; Solanaceae. The record is from RefSeq and is a predicted model, not a curated record.